UACAGAGGUGGCAAGCGUUGUUCGGAAUUACUGGGCGUAAAGGGCGCGUAGGCGGCUUGGUCAGUCCCGUGUGAAAUCCCUCGGCUCAACUGAGGAACUGCACGGGAAACUGCCUGGCUUGAGUUCGGGAGAGGGAAGCGGAAUUCCGGGUGUAGCGGUGAAAUGCGUAGAUAUCCGGAGGAACACCGGUGGCGAAGGCGGCUUCCUGGACCGACACUGACGCUGAGGCGCGAAAGUGUGGGGAUCAAACAGG
Molecule: ribosomal RNA, 253 nt
Filed under: uncultured bacterium
Lineage: Bacteria
Description: partial 16S ribosomal RNA
Rfam family: Bacterial small subunit ribosomal RNA
Source: RNAcentral